UACGUAGGUGGCAAGCGUUGUUCGGAAUUACUGGGCGUAAAGCGCGUGUAGGCGGCUCUUCAAGUCAGACGUGAAAGCCCCGGGCUUAACUCGGGAACUGCGUUUGAUACUGUCGAGCUAGAGUGUGGAAGGGGCGAUUGGAAUUCCGUGUGUAGCGGUGAAAUGCGUAGAUAUACGGAGGAACACCAGAGGCGAAGGCGGAUCGCUGGGCCAACACUGACACUGAGGCACGAAAGCCAAGGGAGCAAACAGG
Molecule: ribosomal RNA, 253 nt
Filed under: uncultured bacterium
Lineage: Bacteria
Description: partial 16S ribosomal RNA
Rfam family: Bacterial small subunit ribosomal RNA
Source: RNAcentral